Molecule: long non-coding RNA, 500 nt
Organism: Canis lupus familiaris (dog)
Lineage: Eukaryota; Metazoa; Chordata; Mammalia; Carnivora; Canidae
Exons: 3
Source: RefSeq, a predicted model, not a curated record
AUAAGUGGUGGUUAUGCCAGCAACUGAAGUAUUAUCACAGAUCAUGAGAAAACACAAAAAAUGGAGAAGAUAUUCAAUUAAAGAUAACCAGCAUCCUAUGUGGGCAGCUUGUUUGACAGUAAUCUUGAACUUCUUCAUAAUUAAACCACCAGCUAUAUAUCCAAUGCAUAUUGGAGGCAAACAUUUGUAUUCUUUCAAGAUAAAUAUGUGAAAGGAUUUGAAAGGACCAAAAAGGAAAACACCAAAAAGGCUUAUUGCAAAGUCUGAGUCAUCAAAAGUGCCAAAGGUUACAUGGGUCUACCUUGUAAGUAGAAGAAAUGUCAGCACCUACAUUGUUUCAUAUGGACAGUGCCCCACCAAGUACAACCACACUGGCCUCUCUAGGUUUCUAAAAUCCCCAUCACCAAAGCCAUCCAUGCUGAAGGUAUUAUCUCUAAAAAGCCACCGUUUGAAAUCCACUUCCAUUUUUGAAAGAAGAAAAGAAGAGACUUCUCUACACA